GUAAACCAGCUUCCUCUACUUGGGGUCCAUCCAUAAAGGUAUCUCUGUGAGAUUCAGGACCACUGACUUUUAAUCUGGAAUUUCAAAACUCGAAUCCCAUUUCAGAAAUCUCUGCAGUCCUCUCAAAGGAUAGUGAAUUAUAAAUUAGAAUUUGGGAAGGGUGAAAGGGAGGGAUCCAGCUUUUUUGGAACUUUGUUGUUGCAGAUGAAAUUAGAUUUUGGGGGGUGUUCCAGUGUAGUGAGAAGUCCCUUUUUGGAGUAUAUCAUCACCUGCAUUCAGGGUCUCCAGUUGAGUGAGCACCUUCCCAGUUCUGAAGUCCCUGCUGGGAAAUAGGACUGCUUUGGGGAUCUGAAACUCAGCUCAAAAUAAUGCCAGUUAGCUUGGCAUUUACCAGGUUGAUACGUAUCCAUCUCCAAGGAAUGGAUUUGGCCUUGGUCCCUUUCCCCUUGCUGGGUCAUGUAUUUGCCUUUAAUAACUGAAAUCCAGGGUCUGAAGAAAGCUCACACAAAUAUUUCCUGGCAAUUCUGAGCAGCAGAGGGUGGGGCAGCAUAAGUUAUCAAAUUAAAUCCUCAAACACUGGCUGCUCCGCAUCAUUGCUCUGCUUUAGUCCUGCUCUAGCAGUACACAAAACAAGUUUGCUCUUAGUUUCUUCUUUUAGUUUUGCUUUGCCAAAGUCUAUACUAGAUAAUGGCACAUAUUCUCCAAACCUAGCUUUAUCCAUCAAAGCUGAAGUAUCCUUAGACAUGUUUUUUGUUGCGGGGACGGGGCAUGUAGGGGUUUGUGUGUAUGUGUGUGAGUGAGAGAGAGAGAGCUAGAGCCUAGGCAACUGGUCUAAUACUGAGCGACACUCCAGCCCUGACAUGUUCCUCGUAACAAACACAAUAUGCCUCCAAAUAGCAAAAACCCACAUAGUCCUUCCUGGAUGAUUUUUUUUUCCUAUGUAAAUCCACUAAUCUCAUCCUUUUUCCUUAGAAACUAAUCUAACAUUCAUUAGUUGUCAUGCUGUCAGACUGCAAUCUCCUUGAGAGCAGCAACUACCCAGGGAGGCACUUAAAUUAUUUAAAGCCUCUAAGUGACCUUGGACAUGUGCAGGUGCUUAAUAACACAAGCCAUGCCUGGACUUCAGAAAACCUGCGAUCCACAUGGACACAUGGACUACUGUUUACCACUUCCUCCUUUUGCUCAGGCCU
This 1190-nucleotide long non-coding RNA is filed under the name Marmota monax (woodchuck). Lineage: Eukaryota; Metazoa; Chordata; Mammalia; Rodentia; Sciuridae. The record is from RNAcentral.